CGCGGGCAUGUGUGCGUGUGCCUGUGUGCACGCGCGUGUGUACACGCAUGUUGCUUCAGGUGCAAGGACUGUGGAAACUGUGGUGACCACGUGGAACGGGCAAGACCGGCGGCCCUGUCGGGAGGAGCACGAGGUAGAGGGUGGAAUCCCAGGAGGAGAGAAGCAGGUCCCAGCGGGAGUUUGGAGCCAGGACGGACAUCACCACUGGGGGCCAAGAGAAACGUCGUGUCUGGGCCCCCAGGUUGCUGGUCUGAGCACUACCGUGGGUCAAUGCCCUUUACUCCCAGGGGGCAGACCUGUGGCUGAGGGACAUCCCUGUGGGGCUUGGAGGGAAGCAUUCAAAGGGUGGGGGCCCCCUACCCCUGGGGGAGGCUCCCAGGGACAGACCCGGAGGUCCCCAGAGCAGAGCCCAGAGCAGGUGCUGGGGUAAAAGCCAGGGGUUCCAACGAGGGCAGUGGCUGCAAGCGGAGCCUGCCCCGGGCUCCAGGAAAGGAAAUGCUCUGCGGUGCGCGGCCACUCUCUGAGCAAGCCCAGCCCAGGGAGCCCUGGUGGAUGGCUGUGGGGUGGGGGAAGGGUGUUCCUCCCUCCCCAUACACUCCCUUCCUAAUGCCCUGGUCUGAACCUUGAACCCCCUCACCUGGACAGUGACGCUGCACCACAGAACCUUCCAGUAGUUGACAAGCUGACCAGAAAGUUAGAACUACCAAAAAUUCCCAGGCAGCCUUUGGGCGAGAGAGAGCCUGAAACUUCCUCCCUUGGAAGGGCCUGCUUCUGCCUCCAUCCCAGAAACAGGACGGCUCUGUCCUGAGAGUGUGGCACUGGCCCAGCCCGGGGGGGCGGCUGACCGAGAGGUGGAGGCGGACCUCCUCCCUGGGAGCAGGACGGAGGACAAGCGCGGCACGGGGUGGGCGGCCCGGCCGAGGGGGUCCAGGGUCUCAGGGAAGACAUCCCGGCCCUAAAGGCUUCCCCACGAAGGACAGGGAUAUGGCCCUCCCGAAGCCGAGUGACAUUUACUGAGGCCUGGGACCCCACAGCACACAGCUGCUCCAGCUGGGGCCUGCUUCCUGCCCUUUCCAGACUAACAGGGAGAAGGGACAUUGCCAGCAGCGUCCUGCCCUGCUCCCAGCAGGCGGCAGAUCUCAGGGGCGGUGCUGGCCCUCGGGAGGACACAAACCACCCCCCCAGCGCACACCUGCUUUCCUCCUCGGGGUGUCCGCGGCCACCUGUGCUGCCUGCUCCGAGCUGACCUCCCUCGUGAGCACAGACGAUGAUGGGCGCAAGGGCCUCACGCGCCAGCGGGGCAAGCCUGCCGGUGGGACGCUGUUCACCUUGCCGCCAGAGCACUCCAACGCCCUCGGCUGGGAUGUCCCCAAAGGGCUGCCCUCCUCAGGGGUAUCCCCACCUGGCCCCCCAACAUGGGGAUGUCUCUGUGGUCUGGCGGGGGGCGGGGUGUUGUUCCUCCUGGAGCACGAGGACACCCACCGGCUGGCAGGGCUCGGGCAGUGAAGAAGGGACACUGGGGCAGGGGCAGCGCCUGGCGGAACCGUCGGUAAAACAACUCUGUUUUCUUUAAGGUUUGAUUUAUUUAUUUGACAGAGAGACACAGCGAGAGAGGGAGCACAAG
Mustela erminea (ermine) is the source of this 1624-nucleotide RNA transcript. RefSeq lists it as uncharacterized. The record is from RefSeq and is a predicted model, not a curated record. Lineage: Eukaryota; Metazoa; Chordata; Mammalia; Carnivora; Mustelidae. The transcript is spliced from 2 exons.